Molecule: ribosomal RNA, 942 nt
Filed under: Brevibacterium sp. JP2
Lineage: Bacteria; Bacillati; Actinomycetota; Actinomycetes; Micrococcales; Brevibacteriaceae
Description: partial 16S ribosomal RNA
Rfam family: Bacterial small subunit ribosomal RNA
Source: RNAcentral
AGNGGUUUNANNNCNCCNCUGCUCAGGACGAACGCUGGCUGCUUGCUUGAAGCAUAUGCAGGGUCUGUUUUNNUNCGNCNCUGAAGCUGGUGCUUGCACCGGGUGGAUGAGUGGCGAACGGGUGAGUAACACGUGAGUAACUUGCCCCUGACUUCGGGAUAAGCCCGGGAAACUGGGUCUAAUACCGGAUACGACUGCCGGACGCAUGUCUGGUGGUGGAAAGUUUUUUCGGUUGGGGAUGGGCUCGCGGCCUAUCAGUUUGUUGGUGAGGUAAUGGCUCACCAAGACGACGACGGGUAGCCGGCCUGAGAGGGCGACCGGCCACACUGGGACUGAGACACGGCCCAGACUCCUACGGGAGGCAGCAGUGGGGAAUAUUGCACAAUGGGGGAAACCCUGAUGCAGCGACGCAGCGUGCGGGAUGACGGCCUUCGGGUUGUAAACCGCUUUCAGCAGGGAAGAAGCGCAAGUGACGGUACCUGCAGAAGAAGUACCGGCUAACUACGUGCCAGCAGCCGCGGUAAUACGUAGGGUACGAGCGUUGUCCGGAAUUAUUGGGCGUAAAGAGCUCGUAGGUGGUUGGUCACGUCUGCUGUGGAAACGCAACGCUUAACGUUGCGCGUGCAGUGGGUACGGGCUGACUAGAGUGCAGUAGGGGAGUCUGGAAUUCCUGGUGUAGCGGUGAAAUGCGCAGAUAUCAGGAGGAACACCGGUGGCGAAGGCGGGACUCUGGGCUGUAACUGACACUGAGGAGCGAAAGCAUGGGGAGCGAACAGGAUUAGAUACCCUGGUAGUCCAUGCCGUAAACGUUGGGCACUAGGUGUGGGGGGCAUUCCAUGUUUUCCGCGCGCGUAGCNNUAACGCAUUAAGGUGCCCCGCCUGGGNUGGAGUUGCUGGUCGCAAGGCUAAACCAUAANNNNNNANNUAUUNNNNNNGGGCUAG